This 1496-nucleotide ribosomal RNA is filed under the name uncultured Bordetella sp. RNAcentral describes it as "partial 16S-23S ribosomal RNA intergenic spacer". It matches the Rfam family "Bacterial small subunit ribosomal RNA". The record is from RNAcentral. Lineage: Bacteria; Pseudomonadati; Pseudomonadota; Betaproteobacteria; Burkholderiales; Alcaligenaceae.
AGUUUGAUUAUGGCUCAGAUUGAACGCUGGCGGGAUGCUUUACACAUGCCGUCGAACGGCAGCACGGACUUCGGUCUGGUGGCGAGUGGCGAACGGGUGAGUAAUGUAUCCGGAACGUGCCUAGUAGCGGGGGAUAACUACGCGAAAGCGUAGCUAAUACCGCAUACGCCCUUCGGGGGAAAGCGGGGGACCUUCGGGCCUCGCACUAUUAGAGCGGCCGAUAUCGGAUUAGCUAGUUGGUGGGGUAACGGCUCACCAAGGCGACGAUCCGUAGCUGGUUUGAGAGGACGACCAACCACACUGGGACUGAGACACGGCCCAGACUCCUACGGGAGGCAGCAGUGGGGAAUUUUGGACAAUGGGGGAAACCCUGAUCCAGCCAUCCCGCGUGUGCGAUGAAGGCCUUCGGGUUGUAAAGCACUUUUGGCAGGAAAGAAACGGCACGGGAUAAUACCCCGUGCAGCUGACAGUACCUGCAGAAUAAAGCACCGGCUAACUACGUGCCAGCAGCCGCGAUAAUACGUAGAAGUGCAAGCGUUAAUCGGAAUUACUGGGCGUAAAGCGUGCGCAGGCGGUUCGGAAGAAAAGAUGUGAAAUCCCAGAGCUUAACUUUGGAACUGCAUUUUUAACUACCGAGCUAGAGAGUGUGUCAGAGGGAGGUGGAGAUUCCGCGUGUGGCAGUGAAAUGCGUAGAUAUGCGGAGGAACACCGAUGGCGAAGGCAGCCUCCUGGGAUAACACUGGCGUGACGCUCAUGCACGAAAGCGUGGGGAGCAAACAGGAUUAGAUACCCUGGUAGUCCACGCCUAAACGAUGUCAACUAGCUGUUGGGGCCUUCGGGCCUUGGUAGCGCAGCUAACGCGUGAAGUUGACCGCCACCAGAGUACGGUCGCAAGAUUAAAACUCAAAGGAAUUGACGGGGACCCGCACAAGCGGUGGAUGAUGUGGAUUAAUUCGAUGCAACGCGAAAAACCUUACCUACCCUUGACAUGUCUGGAAUCCCGAAGAGAUUUGGGAGUGCUCACCAAAGAGAACCGGAACACAGGUGCUGCAUGGCUGUCGUCAGCUCGUGUCGUGAGAUGUUGGGUUAAGUCCACCAACGAGCGCAACCCUUGUCAUUAGUUGCUACGAAAGGGCACUCUAAUGAGACUGCCGGUGACAAACCGGAGGAAGGUGGGGAUGACGUCAAGUCCUCAUGGCCCUUAUGGGUAGGGCUUCACACGUCAUACAAUGGUCGGGACAGAGGGUCGCCAACCCGCGAGGGGUAAUCCCAGAAACCCGAUCGUAGUCCGGAUCGCAGUCUGCAACUCGACUGCGUGAAGUCAAGAAUCCGCUAGUAAUCGCGGAUCAGCAUGUCGCGGUGAAUACGUUCCAGGUCUUGUACACACCGCCCGUCACACCAUGGGAGUGGGUUUUGCAGAAGUAGUUAGCCUAACCGUAAGGAGGGCGAUUACCACGGUAGGAUUCAUGACUGGGGGUGAAGUCGUAACAAGGUAA